GCGGUGCCGGCCUGCGACUCUGCGCCUGCGCCGGCCUGCCCCGCGCCUGGCGUGCGACUCUGCACCAGCGCCAGCGUUGUACCUUUGUGAGGGCGGAGCUGCAUUCUCCUCAGCCCAGACACUGAGAGCAUCGCGAGGGCGGAGCUGUGUUCUCCUCUGCACAGACCUCGGGGGUACCGUGAAGACAGAGCAGCGUUCUACUCUGCCCAGACCCUGGCGUGGGGGGCACCGCGAGGACGGAGCUGCGUUGUGCUCAGCACGGACGUUGGCGGCACCGCCUCGCUUUGGGACAACUCGGGGCCGCAUCCACAGUGAAUAAAAUCCUUCCUGUUUCUAGCCCUGAAUAACGAAGGUUUCUCUGGAACUCCUGACAUCAAGUAAUCCACCUGCCUCUGCCUUCCAAAGUGCUGGGAUUACUGGCAUGAGCCACUGUACCCAGCCUUCACUUUCUUCUCUGUGUCAGAGAUCUCUAGCAAGAUACCUUUUCAGAACUUUUAUUGCAACGGAAGUAUUUCAGAACUUUGUCAGGUUAAACUGUUAAGGGUAUGUCUGUUUUUCUAUGAUACACUCAAUUUAGGAAUGUAUGACUCAGUAAUGAAAGUUGAUCUGGCAUCACCCUUGGCAUUUGAGUUCCUAGGUGGAGAAGGGUGUGUUUUCAGGCAUGAUAAUGGCUUACAGGAAUGCAGCACCCCAAGAGGACCCUAGCAAUUGGGAGAAUUAUGUUUACAUGACACUAAGCCCCAAAUAACCUUAAAUUCUAAAUAAAAGUUCCAAGGGUAAUUUGUA
Macaca mulatta (Rhesus monkey) is the source of this 786-nucleotide non-coding RNA. NCBI's taxonomy places the organism in Eukaryota, Metazoa, Chordata, Mammalia, Primates, Cercopithecidae. The record is from RefSeq and is a predicted model, not a curated record.